GACUCUCGGCAACGGAUAUCUCGGCUCACGCAUCGAUGAAGAACGUAGCAAAAUGCGAUACUUGGUGUGAAUUGCAGAAUCCCGUGAACCAUCGAGUUUUUGAACGCAAGUUGCGCCCGAAGCCUUUUGGCCGAGGGCACGUCUGCCUGGGCGUCACGCAUCGC
This 164-nucleotide ribosomal RNA is filed under the name Chrysanthemum vestitum. Its description in RNAcentral is "5.8S ribosomal RNA". It matches the Rfam family "5.8S ribosomal RNA". Rfam says of the family: 5.8S ribosomal RNA (5.8S rRNA) is a component of the large subunit of the eukaryotic ribosome. Lineage: Eukaryota; Viridiplantae; Streptophyta; Magnoliopsida; Asterales; Asteraceae. The record is from RNAcentral.